RNAcentral lists this ribosomal RNA (491 nucleotides) under uncultured bacterium. RNAcentral describes it as "bacterial SSU rRNA". It matches the Rfam family "Bacterial small subunit ribosomal RNA", at positions 118 to 594 of the family's 1533-position model. The record is from RNAcentral.
UGGGUAACCUGCCCUUGGAACCGGGAUUACUGGCCGAAAGGCCCGCUCAUCCGGAUAAGACUUCAUGAGCUUCGGCUCAUGCGGCCAAAGUCGGCCUCUCAAGAAGCCGGCGCCUGAGGAUGGGCCCGCGGACCAUUAGCUAGUUGGUGGGUAACGGCUCACCAAGGCCGAGAUGGUUAGCUGGUCUGAGAGGAUGAUAGCCACACUGGAACUGAGAUACGGUCCAGACUCCUACGGGAGGCAGCAGGAGGAAUAUUGCGCAAUGGAGGCAACUCUGACGCAGCAACGCCGCGUGGUGAAGAAGGCUUUCGGGUUGUAAAGCCCUGUCAGGUGGGAAGAAACCUCUCUAGUGAAUAGCUAGAGGAACUGACGGUACCACCAAAGGAAGCACCGGCAACUCCGUGCCAGCAGCCCGCGGCAAGACGGAGGGUGCAAGCGUUGUUCGAAUCACUGGGCGUAAAGCGCGUGUAGGCGGUUCGAUAAGUCGAGUG